AGAGUGAACGCUGGCGGUAGGCCUAACACAUGCAAGUCGAACGGCAGCACGGUAAGAGCUUGCUCUUAUGGGUGGCGAGUGGCGGACGGGUGAGGAAUACAUCGGAAUCUACCUUUUGGUGGGGGAUAACGUAGGGAAACUUACGCUAAUACCGCAUACGCCCUUCGGGGGAAAGGCCGGGGACCAGCAAUGGCCUGGCGCUGAUAGAUGAGCCGAUGUCGGAUUAGCUAGUUGGUGAGGUAAUGGCUCACCAAGGCGACGAUCCGUAGCUGGUCUGAGAGGAUGAUCAGCCAACACUGGAACUGAGACCACGGUCCAG
This 319-nucleotide ribosomal RNA is filed under the name uncultured soil bacterium. RNAcentral's name for it is "bacterial SSU rRNA". It matches the Rfam family "Bacterial small subunit ribosomal RNA", at positions 26 to 334 of the family's 1533-position model. The record is from RNAcentral.